RNAcentral lists this ribosomal RNA (301 nucleotides) under uncultured bacterium. Its description in RNAcentral is "partial 16S ribosomal RNA". It matches the Rfam family "Bacterial small subunit ribosomal RNA", at positions 509 to 808 of the family's 1533-position model. The record is from RNAcentral.
CAGUAGCCACGGGAAUACGAAGGGGGCUAGCGUUGUUCGGAUUUACUGGGCGUAAAGCGCACGUAGGCGGACUUUUAAGUCAGGGGUGAAAUCCCGGGGCUCAACCCCGGAACUGCCUUUGAUACUGGAAGUCUUGAGUAUGGUAGAGGUGAGUGGAAUUCCGAGUGUAGAGGUGAAAUUCGUAGAUAUUCGGAGGAACACCAGUGGCGAAGGCGGCUCACUGGACCAUUACUGACGCUGAGGUGCGAAAGCGUGGGGAGCAAACAGGAUUAGAACCCGAGUAGUCCCUGUCUCUUAUACA